Molecule: ribosomal RNA, 328 nt
Filed under: uncultured eukaryote
Lineage: Eukaryota
Description: partial 18S ribosomal RNA
Rfam family: Eukaryotic small subunit ribosomal RNA
Source: RNAcentral
CCCUUAGAUGUUCUGGGCCGCACGCGCGCUACACUGAUACGUUCAACAAGUUUAGAACCUUGACUGAGAGGUCUGGGUAAUCUUUUGAAUGCGUAUCGUGUUAGGGAUAGAUUAUUGCAAUUAUUAAUCUUGAACGAGGAAUUCCUAGUAAACGCAAGUCAUCAGCUUGCAUUGAUUACGUCCCUGCCCUUUGUACACACCGCCCGUCGCACCUACCGAUUGGAUGGUCCGGUGAAGCCUCGGGAUUGUGGUUCUUGCCGCUUUAUUGUGGCGUGACCGCGAGAACUUGUCUAAACCUUAUCAUCUAGAGGAAGGUGAAGUCGUAACA